GACAGAGGGUGCAAACGUUGUUCGGAAUUACUGGGCGUAAAGCGCGUGUAGGCUGUCUCGCAAGUCGGAUGUGAAAGCCCUGGGCUCAACCUAGGAAGUGCAUUCGAAACUGCGAGACUUGAGUCCUGGAGAGGAAGGUGGAAUGCUUGGUGUAGAGGUGAAAUUCGUAGAUAUCAAGCGGAACACCGGUGGCGAAGGCGGCCUUCUGGACAGUGACUGACGCUGAGACGCGAAAGCGUGGGGAGCAAACAGG
Molecule: ribosomal RNA, 253 nt
Filed under: uncultured bacterium
Lineage: Bacteria
Description: partial 16S ribosomal RNA
Rfam family: Bacterial small subunit ribosomal RNA
Source: RNAcentral